AGAUAUGACUGUUUGAAGCCAGGCUGUCUAUUUAAGGAAAGUUACCCGGAUUAAAGAGAGGUACUUUUCCUUGCCCUAUCAGAUUUAACUCGUUUUUAAUAAUUAAUUAGGGGUCUAAACUGAUUUGGUUCAGUUUACACAAUCCUAAUUUACUCUAGGGUUUUAGAAAAGAAUUCAAGAAGAGAAAAGAGGAGAAAAGUCAAGGCGUUCAUCAAGUUUCUUGCGAAAUCGAAGGUCGUUUCGCCAAGGGUUUGAUCCCUAAGAGGUAUGUAAAUUUCUCAUAGUGUUGGGUUCGUUAACCCACACGCCAAUCAUGUUAUUUUUCAGCGAAGUUUCGUUCUUGAAGUUGAAGAAAUUGAGUUCUUGAUUGUUUCUUGAAAGUGUUGUUUCCGUUGUUGAAUUUGGAUGGGUUUGAUGAAUUCUUGAGAUAAAAGUUAGUGAAUUGAGGGUGGUUUGGAGUAGAUUAUCAUGUACAUAAGUUGAGUAUUCGAAUCUAAGUGAUUGGGAAAGAAACCAUUCGAUUCUAGGAGAAUUAGGGUCGAAAAACGAGUAAGAAAAGAUAGGGCUUGUUCCCCAAAGUGAAAUUUCCCUCACCACAUCGCGGAGAGAACGCGGACUCCACUGUUUCAAAAAUUAUUUCGCGACCAAAUAUUAUAAGUCAUCUCCGCGUCGCGGACUUGCUCCCCAGACAGUGUUUUUCAACCUUUUCUCAUUAUUAACUAUCUAAAACUCAUUUAAUCAUCAUGAUAUACUUCCUAUUACAAAUCAUAACCUUGAAUUCAUAAUUCGAAUUCAAGGUAGAAUUAAGAGUCAUGUUUUGAGACUUCUUCGAGUCAGUUUAAGAAGUCAUUUACAAAUCUUUUAAACUUGUUUUAAGACUUGAGCAUUCGAGUUUGAGGAAGAGUAAAGUUGAGUUCAUUUUAUUUAAUAUGCUAUAUAUGAACUAAGUAUUCCCAAGAGCAAAUGUUUUUACAUUUAAGAUGAGAGGAAACACCAAUUUCCAAAAGAGUUUUCAUGAGCAGUUCUGAGUACCAUCUCUUUUAUGAGAAAGAUUUUUGAGUAAUAAUCUCAAACCACAUAAAUAGUUAUUUUUUUAAAAUCAUAUGAGCUAGUAUAUUUUGGGCGUAGUAUUGAGCACCGAUAUGGGGUAGAGUUCAUACAACUCACAGCCCUCAUAAACCAUGUAGCCAAUGUGGGUAGAAAGGGUCAAACUUUUUAAAUGAUUCCUUAAUGCUUUUUAGCAUAGACUAGUGGAUCCACUUAGUAGUAGGUUCUAUACCCUGAAAAAGUAUAGGAAAGUUCUGGCAGCAUGGGCUAGAUGCUGUAUCAUCACAUAACUCAUAGUGAUGGCUGUCGGUUAGAGAAUCUCCCACAGACUUAUUUUGUAUCUUUAUAUAUACAAACUGAGUUAUAUUGUAUUUUGAAAUGCAUUGAGUUUCCGUCUACUAUUUAAAAACUUUUCAUUUAUAUUGCAUCUUUAUCAAUGCUUUAUAUCAAAAUGAGUUGAGACGAGGUAAGUUGUUUCUUUAAUUCCAGUUCAAACUUAUGUCUUGUUUUAGAUUUCCCCUUCCAUGCUCGUACAUUUCAUGUACUGACGACAUUUGGCCUGCAUCUUCUAUGAUGCAGAUACAGGUAACCAGGAUCAGCAUCAAGUGCGUCGUUGAUCCCAUCGAGUUCCAGAGUCAUUUGGUGAACCUCCUUGCUUCUAGAGGACCCCUUUAUUAUGUUUUGUUAUUCUGUUUUGUUAGGAUGAUCGGGGGUCUUCUCCCGACAUCCCUCAUAGUAUUUAGAAGCUACAUGGAUAUAUAGAUGUAGUUCAUGAGUCUUAUUCAUUUCAUUUAUUGUUGUCUGAGACUUGAGUUACCAUUUUGAGUAGUUGAAUGUUUACUUCUAAAAUAUUCUGAGUUUAUCUAUUGAGAC
RNAcentral lists this long non-coding RNA (1920 nucleotides) under Solanum tuberosum (potato). RNAcentral describes it as "long non-coding RNA (STUB_LNC004667)". The record is from RNAcentral. Lineage: Eukaryota; Viridiplantae; Streptophyta; Magnoliopsida; Solanales; Solanaceae.